UCUUUCUAAUACAAUGCUAGUAUAGAUGACUUCCAAUCAUCCCAUCUUGGUUAAACCCCAAGGAAAGAC
RNAcentral lists this transfer RNA (69 nucleotides) under Dibranchus sp. YXL-2021. RNAcentral's name for it is "tRNA-Gly". Lineage: Eukaryota; Metazoa; Chordata; Actinopteri; Lophiiformes; Ogcocephalidae. The record is from RNAcentral.